RNAcentral lists this non-coding RNA (243 nucleotides) under Rossellomorea vietnamensis. Its description in RNAcentral is "Bacillus vietnamensis T-box sequence". It matches the Rfam family "T-box leader". From Rfam's summary of the family: Uncharged tRNA acts as the effector for transcription antitermination of genes in the T-box leader family. T-boxes are found upstream of many aminoacyl-tRNA synthetase genes and some amino acid biosynthetic genes usually in Gram-positive bacteria. The anticodon of a specific tRNA base pairs to a specifier sequence within the T-box motif, and the NCCA acceptor tail of the tRNA base pairs to a conserved bulge in the T-box antiterminator hairpin. Lineage: Bacteria; Bacillati; Bacillota; Bacilli; Caryophanales; Bacillaceae. The record is from RNAcentral.
UUAAGUGCGAUGAAGAAGAAGAGUAGACGAUUGAAACUUUUAAGAGAGCUGAUGGCUGGUGAGAAUCAGUAUGCUGAAAUCGUUGAAUGGGCUUUUGAGCAUCCAGUCUGAAAUAAAGUAGGUUUUGGCGGAAGGUCUCACCGAUAAAAGGGACGAUGUAUCGAAGGCGACUUCUGUACAGAUGAGUGCGUUUACUAAAGUGUAAGCGAAUGAAGGUGGCACCACGGGUUUUCCGUCCUUUUU